UGCGCAGGUGGGCUUGUAAGUCAGUGGUGAAAUCUUGCCGCUUAACGGUAAAAUUGCCAUUGAUACUGCAAGUCUUGAGUAUGGUUGAGGUAGGUGGAAUGUGUUGUGUAGCGGUGAAAUGCAUAGAUAUGACACAGAACGCCGAUUGCGAAGGCAACUUACUAAGCCAUUACUGACGCUGAGGCACGAAAGCGUGGGGAGCAAACAGGAUUAGAUACCCUGGUAGUCC
RNAcentral lists this ribosomal RNA (229 nucleotides) under uncultured bacterium. RNAcentral describes it as "partial 16S ribosomal RNA". It matches the Rfam family "Bacterial small subunit ribosomal RNA", at positions 568 to 796 of the family's 1533-position model. The record is from RNAcentral.